Molecule: ribosomal RNA, 381 nt
Filed under: Arthrobacter sp.
Lineage: Bacteria; Bacillati; Actinomycetota; Actinomycetes; Micrococcales; Micrococcaceae
Description: bacterial SSU rRNA
Rfam family: Bacterial small subunit ribosomal RNA
Source: RNAcentral
GAGUAACCUGCCCUUAACUCUGGGAUAAGCCUGGGAAACUGGGUCUAAUACCGGAUAGGAGCGCCCACCGCAUGGUGGGUGUUGGAAAGAUUUAUCGGUUUUGGAUGGACUCGCGGCCUAUCAGCUUGUUGGUGAGGUAAUGGCUCACCAAGGCGACGACGGGUAGCCGGCCUGAGAGGGUGACCGGCCACACUGGGACUGAAACACGGCCCACACUCCUACGGGAGGCAGCAUUGGGGAAUAUUGCACAAUGGGCGCAAGCCUGAUGCACCGACGCCGCGUGAGGGAUGACGGCCUUCGGGUUGUAAACCUCUUUCAGUAGGGAAGAAGCGAAAGUGACGGUACCUGCAGAAAAACCACCGGCUAACUACGUGCCAGCAG